AGAGUUUGAUCCUGGCUCAGGAUGAACGCUGGCUGUGUGCCUAAUACAUGCAUGUCGAGCGGAAGUAGCAAUACUUUAGCGGCGAAUGGGUGAGUAACACGUGCUUAAUCUACCUCUUAGAUUGGAAUACCUAAUGGAAACAUUGGUUAAUGCCGGAUACGCAUGGAGUCGCAUGACUCCGUUGUGAAAGGGGCCUUUAAAGCUCCACUAAGAGAUGAGGGUGCGGAACAUUAGCUAGUUGGUGAGGUAACGGCCCACCAAGGCUAUGAUGUUUAGCCGGGUCGAGAGACUGAACGGCCACAUUGGGACUGAGAUACGGCCCAAACUCCUACGGGAGGCAGCAGUAGGGAAUAUUCCACAAUGAGCGAAAGCUUGAUGGAGCGACACAGCGUGCACGAUGAAGGUCUUAUGGAUUGUAAAGUGCUGUUGCAAGGGAAGAAAAAGUAGUUGAGGAAAUGCUUCUACAUUGACGGUACCUUGUUAGAAAGCGAUGGCUAACUAUGUGCCAGCAGCCGCGGUAAUACAUAGGUCGCAAGCGUUAUCCGGAAUUAUUGGGCGUAAAGCGUUCGUAGGCUGUUUAUUAAGUCUGGAGUCAAAUCCCAGGGCUCAACCCUGGCUCGCUUUGGAUACUGGUAAACUAGAGUUGGAUAGAGGUAAGCGGAAUUCCAUGUGAAGCGGUGAAAUGCGUAGAUAUAUGGAAGAACACCAAAGGCGAAGGCAGCUUACUGGGUUUAUACUGACGCUGAGGAACGAAAGCGUGGGGAGCAAACAGGAUUAGAUACCCUGGUAGUCCACGCCGU
Molecule: ribosomal RNA, 800 nt
Filed under: uncultured bacterium
Lineage: Bacteria
Description: bacterial SSU rRNA
Rfam family: Bacterial small subunit ribosomal RNA
Source: RNAcentral